AGCCCCUUGGCCACACCAGGGUAUCGCACUGUUCCAAUUGGUUGAUUGAUGAUAACCUUAUCUUCUUUGAGUAUCCCAUCUACUAGUGCUCGAUAUAUCUUCGAAAUUUUCCUGCCCUUGACAAGCUUUGUGGUGGUAUCACCAAUAUCUCCAACACGAGAUGUGCCAUCAGCAAAAUAUGCUGCUAGGUGAGUCUUGGCAAACUUUGACUUUGCACAAAGUAAUAUUCCUGAUGUUCCCCUUCCUAGGCGAUGAACAGGAACAGGAUGCGAUUCUUGGCUCAGUAGGGAAGAUGUUUGAUUCUUUGCCCACCACUGAAGUUGUGUUAAAACAGUCCGCUGUUGGAAAAGCCCUCCAGGCAAAACUUGCAGACCAGAAGGCUUGUUUAAAGCAAUCAGAUCAUCAUCUUCAUAUAAAACUUGUAGCAUGUAAGGUGCAUUAGGCUCAUUCCAAGGAAGCCUGUAGUAGACAAGUUCUGAACCAACCCUGAGUACUGUGUUGUGUUCUUUAACAACCACACCAUCAAUUGUUAUCUGUCC
RNAcentral lists this unclassified non-coding RNA (539 nucleotides) under Hevea brasiliensis (rubber tree). The record is from RNAcentral. Lineage: Eukaryota; Viridiplantae; Streptophyta; Magnoliopsida; Malpighiales; Euphorbiaceae.